Molecule: unclassified non-coding RNA, 2469 nt
Filed under: Acromyrmex echinatior (Panamanian leafcutter ant)
Lineage: Eukaryota; Metazoa; Arthropoda; Insecta; Hymenoptera; Formicidae
Description: serine/threonine-protein phosphatase 5, transcript variant X3
Source: RNAcentral
GAUCAGCCGGAUCAGUGCAGUGGAUACCGCUUGGAGCUUACUUCACAACGUUUACGGUGGCGGUACGAUCGUAUGAUACGGAUUACGGGACGGGAGGCGCAAACUCCGCUCCAGCAGGCUCUUCUGUCUCCUCAGAAAGAGAGAGAGAGGAACGCGAUCGACUGCACCUCGAUGCGCGAUCUCUCGUUACGCACGUUGCGACCGCGUGGCUCCGAGUGACUUCAAUCUCCCGUCGGUUUGCCGCCGUUGGGUUGCAUCAAACUAAACAAGGCUCGGCCACCCGCACGCAAGCACGCACGCACGAACGCACGCACGGAGCCGAGGAUGGGCGACAAUGGCAGAGGAGACGUCGCAUCGGUAUCGCCGGCGACAUCGGAGGACGCGGCUAAGGCGGAAUUGUACAAGGAGGAGGCGAACGAGUACUUCAAAAAUCAAGUAUACGACAAAGCUAUUGAAUUAUAUACCAAAGCCAUAGAAUUAAAUCCAUCAGUAGCCAUAUAUUAUGGCAAUAGGAGUAUUGCCUAUCUAAGAACAGAAUAUUUUGGAUAUGCGUUGACAGACGCUUCCACAGCUAUCAUGUUAGAUAAAAAUUAUGUCAAAGGCUAUUAUCGGAGAGCUGCCGCUUAUAUGUCCCUCGGCAAGUUCAAACUGGCUCUCAUGGAUUAUAAGACUGUUGUAAAAGCUAGACCCAAUGAUAAAGAUGCAAGCGACAGAUGCUCGGAAUGUUCCAAGAUGAUUAAAGUGUCAGCUUUUAACAAAGCCAUCUCUGUCGAGGAUAAAAAGAAUAUAGCUGACACGAUUAAUCUAGAAGAUAUGGCGAUUGAAGGUGAAUACACAGGUCCAAAAUUGGUUGAUGGGAAAGUUACUUUAGAAUUCAUGAAAGAUUUAUUAGAAUGGUAUAAAAAUCAAAAUAAGUUGCACCGUAAAUAUGCUUACAAAAUCCUAUUGGACGUCAAAUCGUGGUUUAUGGCACAACCUAGUUUAGUGGACAUUACAAUUCCAGAAGAAAAUAAAUUCACCAUUUGUGGGGAUAUACAUGGUCAAUAUUAUGACUUGCUUAAUAUAUUUAAACUGAACGGAUUACCAUCAGAAACUAAUCCAUAUUUAUUCAAUGGAGAUUUUGUAGACAGAGGUUCAUUCUCUGUAGAAUGCAUAUUUACUUUAUUUGGUUUUAAAUUAUUAUAUCCAAAUCACUUUUUUAUGUCAAGAGGUAAUCAUGAGUCAGCAACAAUGAACCAAAUGUAUGGAUUUGACGGAGAAGUUAAAGCUAAAUAUUCUGUCCAGAUGGCAGAAUUGUUUACAGAGGUUUAUAACUGGCUCCCUCUUGCACACUGCCUCAAUCGUAAAGUGCUUGUGAUGCACGGUGGAUUGUUUUCGCGAGAUGAUGUGACGUUGCAAGAAAUUAGAGAAAUCGACAGAAACAGACAACCACCUGACGAAGGAUUGAUGUGUGAACUAUUGUGGUCUGAUCCGCAACCACAAAUGGGCCGGGCGCCCAGCAAGAGAGGCGUAGGUGUUCAAUUCGGACCCGACGUCACACAGAAUUUCCUCAGUAUAAAUUCCCUUGACUACAUCGUGAGAAGUCACGAAGUUAAAAACGAUGGAUACGAAGUGGGACAUGACGGAAAGUGUAUCACAGUAUUCUCUGCUCCAAAUUACUGUGAUACUAUGGGUAACCGAGGUGCCUUUAUCACACUUAAUGGUAGUGACAUGAAACCUUAUUUUACAUCGUACGAUGCAAUGCCUCAUCCAAACGUAAGGCCGAUGGCUUACGCCAAUUCUUUACUAAAGUUCAUGUGCUAGUGGAACAUCUAGGUAUUAUUGAAAAAUGAAUAAUAAUAACUGAAAUAUAAGUAGUCCAAUCAAAGUGAGAUCGCGAUCGAAUUUCUUGUAUUAUAAAAUAUAUGCGAUGAGAAUGCAUAAUAUUGAUGGGUACAAAAGCGAGAAAAGUUUGCUUAUUUUUACAACAGGCAAACAAAUCUAUCAGACUUCUUAUCUAUAAGAAAACACGGCUCAUCAAACACUGGCGAUUUGUGUUCGUUUGUAAUAAAAUGGCGCGAAGAGAACGUUUCUAUUUUGUACCCUCAAUCUAUGACCACCUUGCUCGUUAAAGAUACCUACGUGCGCGUAAAUAUAAAAAGAACAAAUAAUUUUGAUCUCGAAGAUAUUUCCACAGAAUUUUAACUUUAUAAUAUAUUAUUUGUAUGAAGCGCUGAAUCUUAAACUUUUAAUCGAUUCUUUAGCGACCAACGGUGGAGUUUCAAUGAAAUAUAGUAAUUACAAGAGUAUACAUACAUGCGUAUGCAAAAACCUAGAAUAAUUAUGUAGUACAAUGUUCUAACCAAUCACUAUUUGUCACGUUAUUUGUGACAAUUUUUUUACAAAUCUAUUGUGAUUGGAAGGACUUCUUUGAUCUAACAUUUUGUUUUUUGUUAAUAAUAAAUGAUGUUUAUGAUGUACAUACAUAAA